UACAGAGGGUGCGAGCGUUAAUCGGAUUUACUGGGCGUAAAGGGCGCGUAGGCGGUCAUGUAGGUGUUGUGUGAAAGCCCUGGGCUUAACCUAGGAAGAGCACGGCAAACGAUAUGACUGGAGUAUAAGAGAGGGUGAUGGAAUUUCCGGUGUAGCGGUGAAAUGCGUAGAGAUCGGAAGGAACGUCAAUGGCGAAGGCAAUCACCUGGCUUAAUACUGACGCUGAGGCGCGAAAGCGUGGGGAGCAAACAGG
Molecule: ribosomal RNA, 253 nt
Filed under: uncultured bacterium
Lineage: Bacteria
Also listed under: 1 other name
Description: partial 16S ribosomal RNA
Rfam family: Bacterial small subunit ribosomal RNA
Source: RNAcentral